This 377-nucleotide unclassified non-coding RNA is filed under the name plant metagenome. RNAcentral describes it as "partial contains 5.8S ribosomal RNA, internal transcribed spacer 2, and large subunit ribosomal RNA". The stretch from base 1 to 104 matches the Rfam family "5.8S ribosomal RNA", at positions 51 to 154 of the family's 154-position model. The record is from RNAcentral.
AAAUGCGAUAAGUAAUGUGAAUUGCAGAAUUCAGUGAAUCAUCGAAUCUUUGAACGCACCUUGCGCUCCUUGGUAUUCCUUGGAGCAUGCCUGUUUGAGUAUCAUGAAAUCUUCAAAGUAAAUCUUUUGUUAACUCAAUUGGUUUCUACUUUGGUAUUGGAGGUCUUUGCAGCUUCACACCUGCUCCUCUUUGUUCAUUAGCUGGAUCUCAGUGUUAUGCUUGGUUCCACUCGGCGUGAUAAGUUAUCUAUCGCUGAGGACACUGUAAAAGGUGGCCAAGGUAAAUGCAGAUGAACCGCUUCUAAUAGUCCAUUGACUUGGACAAUACUUUUAUGAUCUGAUCUCAAGUCAGGUAGAACUACCCGCUGAACUUACGC